This 447-nucleotide ribosomal RNA is filed under the name uncultured bacterium. RNAcentral's name for it is "partial 16S ribosomal RNA". It matches the Rfam family "Bacterial small subunit ribosomal RNA", at positions 331 to 793 of the family's 1533-position model. The record is from RNAcentral.
CCAGACUCCUACGGGAGGCAGCAGUGGGGAAUAUUGCACAAUGGGGGAAACCCUGAUGCAGCGACGCCGCGUGAGCGAGGAAGUAUUUCGGUAUGUAAAGCUCUGUCAGCAGGGAAGAAGAAUGACGGUACCUGAAGAAGAAGCACCGGCUAAAUACGUGCCAGCAGCCGCGGUAAUACGUAUGGUGCAAGCGUUAUCCGGAUUUACUGGGUGUAAAGGGAGCGCAGGCGGUUCUGCAAGUCUGAUGUGAAAGCCCGGGGCUCAACCGCGGGACUGCAUUGGAAACUGUUUUUCUUGAAUACCGGAGAGGUCAUCGGAAUUCCUUGUGUAGCGGUGAAAUGCGUAGAUAUAAGGAAGAACACCAGUGGCGAAGGCGGAUGACUGGACGGCAACUGACGGUGAGGCGCGAAAGCGUGGGGAGCAAACAGGAUUAGAUACCCGGGUACG